CCUACAGAUCAGGAUGUAGCUCUCAGCUCCUUCUCCAGCACCAUGUCUGCCUGCACACUGCUGUACUGCCCACCACGACGAUAACGGACCAAACCUCCGAAACUGCAGAUUGUUCCCAGGGUUGGCUUGGUUCAUCUGUUUCCUAGUCCAUUAAUCCAUUGCUCUUGCUGCCUUGGCUCCGUGGGCAUCUUUUCAGAUGGAACAUACACAAGCUGCUUCCUCCCCCACACUGCUCUUGAAAGAGAGAAGAAAGCAAACGCAGCCGUCCUGCAGAAGCUUCCUCUCUCCUUGCAGACACUGGCCCCUUUGAGGUUCAACAGCGUCCUAGCAGAUAUUUGUCCAUGUCCCAUUACUUAGACGCAGCACACUCUCCUCAGCAGACAAGCUCAUCUUUCUGGGAGACUAUUCCUUUCCUGGCCUAAUGGAUCCUGUCAGAGGCAGGAUGUGGCUUUUGCCAUCACAGUCUUAAAAAAAAAAAAAAAAAACCACAAAAGCCCACAGGGAUAACGGCUACCGUGGCGGUGGCAUUGUACCGGCCCCGUCAGCAUUGGGAUUUGAUGAAGAAGAAAAGGAAAAAUAUGGAAAGUUUGAAACACUUAAUAACUUAUGAGAGAAACUCAGAUGCAUAAUUACAAGGGUUGCUUGCAAAUUUUAAUUAAAACUUGGGUGGAAACGAACA
Molecule: long non-coding RNA, 679 nt
Organism: Mesocricetus auratus (golden hamster)
Lineage: Eukaryota; Metazoa; Chordata; Mammalia; Rodentia; Cricetidae
Exons: 2
Source: RefSeq, a predicted model, not a curated record